RNAcentral lists this ribosomal RNA (484 nucleotides) under uncultured bacterium. Its description in RNAcentral is "partial 16S ribosomal RNA". It matches the Rfam family "Bacterial small subunit ribosomal RNA", at positions 30 to 507 of the family's 1533-position model. The record is from RNAcentral.
AUUGAACGCUGGCGGAAUGCUUUACACAUGCAAGUCGAACGGCAGCACGGGGGCAACCCUGGUGGCGAGUGGCGAACGGGUGAGUAAUACAUCGGAACGUGCCCGGUCGUGGGGGAUAACGUAGCGAAAGUUACGCUAAUACCGCAUACGAUCUGAGGAUGAAAGCGGGGGACCUUCGGUCCUCGCGCGAUCGGAGCGGCCGAUGGCAGAUUAGGUAGUUGGUGGGGUAAAGGCCGACCAAGCCGACGAUCUGUAGCUGGUCUGAGUGGACGACCAGCCACACUGGGACGGAGACACGGCCCAGACUCCUACGGGAGGCAGCAGUGGGGAAUUUUGGACAAUGGGCGCAAGCCUGAUCCAGCCAUUCCGCGUGCAGGACGAAGGCCUUCGGGUUGUAAACUGCUUUUGUAUGGAACGAAAAGGCUCUGGCUAAUACCUGGGGCUCAUGACGGUACCGUAAGAAUAAGCACCGGCUAACUACGUG